This 537-nucleotide long non-coding RNA is filed under the name Fragaria vesca (wild strawberry). Its description in RNAcentral is "long non-coding RNA (FVES_LNC003494)". The record is from RNAcentral. Lineage: Eukaryota; Viridiplantae; Streptophyta; Magnoliopsida; Rosales; Rosaceae.
GAGAUAUGAGGGACGCCCCGCUGCCUCAAUGAAGGGCCCAUCUCCGGCUGCCUCUGCGCCGUCUGCAGAAGGCUCGCAUGUCUAGCUGUCAUGAGGCCCUGAAACAACGUCUAAGGGUUGUUAGAGGUUCCCUCAGACGAUACGGACCUUUGGCCCUUCGAACCCUUCGUCGAUCUAAUAUUACCGCUCAUCCUAUUUAAAAUAUAAAUUUGAAUCAAGGCCACAAAAUCAAAAAAUGCAAACUCAUUUAAAAAAUGUAAAAAAUAUAUACACUUCCUAAAUACAAAUUUUCAUUUCCUAAAAUUUACACAUAUACACUUCCUAAAUAUACACUUCAUAAAUAAAAAUAUACACUUCCUAACAACACCAUAACAUUGCAAUUGACCGGAAAAUCAAAGCAAACACAAAAUACAAAACAAAUAUAUACAUUUCCUAAAUACUAAAUACAAAUAUACACUUAUUAAAUAACAAUAUACACUUCCUAAAUACAAAUAUACACUUCCUAACAACACCACAACAUUGCAAUUGACCGGAAAA